CUUUCAACAACGGAUCUCUUGGUUCCAGCAUCGAUGAAGAACGCAGCGAAAUGCGAUAAAUAAUGUGAAUUGCAGAAUUCAGUGAAUCAUCGAAUCUUUGAACGCACAUUGCGCCCUUCGGUAUUCCGGGGGGCAUGCCUGUUCGAGCGUCAUUACACCCCUCAAGCGUAGCUUGGUAUU
RNAcentral lists this ribosomal RNA (180 nucleotides) under Alectoria sarmentosa. RNAcentral's name for it is "5.8S ribosomal RNA". The stretch from base 1 to 152 matches the Rfam family "5.8S ribosomal RNA". Rfam says of the family: 5.8S ribosomal RNA (5.8S rRNA) is a component of the large subunit of the eukaryotic ribosome. RNAcentral also lists the same sequence under 4 other names. The record is from RNAcentral. Lineage: Eukaryota; Fungi; Ascomycota; Lecanoromycetes; Lecanorales; Parmeliaceae.